Molecule: long non-coding RNA, 1908 nt
Organism: Balaenoptera musculus (blue whale)
Lineage: Eukaryota; Metazoa; Chordata; Mammalia; Artiodactyla; Balaenopteridae
Exons: 4
Source: RefSeq, a predicted model, not a curated record
ACUGUCAUUUAGAAAAGAUGACACUGACAAAACCAUGGAGGCUAGUUUGGAGACGUUUGUUACUUUCUGUUGAAAGAGAACAAUUAGGAGGCUACUGUAGUGGUCACUCGAGACUAAUCAUGUGAGAUAAGGUUGGCAGAAGGGAAGGUCCUUCUCAUCAAACAGAGGAAGAAACUGAAGCUCUGACUGGUGAAUGAAUUCAAGGAAUGGAUUAAAGAGAUAGCAAAGGGACAACAAACCUUAUACUAUGGAAAGAUUUGGUUGAAAAAUGAUCUUCUAUUGACUAGCAAGUUCUGACAAGGCCCACUGUGUGGGUGUAUGGAAAAUUGAAAGGAAAACCUAAAGGAGUCUUUUGGGAGAAACUGCUAACAGGAACUAAAGCUCCCACCCAGAUGGAGGAUUGUAACUAUAUGCUAAGAGAGCAGACUGGUUGGACCCAGAAGACUGAUGAUCGAGAUUCCUAGAACACUACCCUGUUACCUCACUGCCAACCAAUCAGAAGAAAGUCACACACUCUGCAGCCCUCCCCCCAAAUUUUCCCUUUAAAAACCAUCCGGGAAUUUGGGUUUUUUGAGCAUGAACUGCCUGUUCUCCUUGCUUUGCCCUUGCAAUAAGCAUUUCUCUGCUCCAAACUCUGACAUUAUGGUUUGUUUGGCCUCACUGUGCAUUGGGCACAUGAACUUACAUUCAACAACAGAUUUACUAGUUAACCCAGUAUUUUUGCUGGUUUACUAGCAGCUCUACUGAGAUCUAACAUAUAUACCAUAUCAUUCACCCAUUUGAACUGAAUAAUUCACUGAUUUUUAUUAUAUCUUUCUAGUUUGAACUCCCCACAAUUUUGGCAGAAGACAAUUCUCCUGGAAAUCUUGCAUGGUCCCACCAAAUAGUUUUAAUUUAAGGAUAAAUAAAGAAUGAAAAGAGACAAGAAAGAGGGAGGAAGAGAAUGUGUAUAAUUAUUUCAAUGCUUUCUACAAUAAUAUUGAAAUGAAACAUAUGAUGUCAAUGAUGAGUAAAGGAGACAUGCACUUUAAAUUCAAUUUGUUAUGUAUCUCAUCUAGGAACAAUUAAGUUAGCUCUCUUUAGACUUCAUUCUUUACUACUUUCAUUAUAACACUUUCACACACUGCUUGAUAUUUUGUAUUUUGUAUGUGUCUGUGGAAGAGCAAGAACUGUGAAUUAUAUUUUUGUAUUUCUCUUCAGGACUUGUACUAUUUUGCACAUAGUAAAGGCAAAAUACACAUGCAGUGCAUCACAUUGUAAAACAAAAGAGGAAAAUGGAAGAAAUGAUGUAUCAUCACACAGAAAAUAUAUGAUGAGAAUCUUAAUAUCACAGCCCCAUAUUGACUUUAAAAAUCUGAAUAUUUCAGGUAACAGUUUUUAAGUCUUACUAAUUUCAUUUCUUCAGAUUACUACAGAUUUGUCCUUUAGCUACUUUUCACUCCAGAGGAACAAGGUGUGAGAGUGUAGCUCUCUAUUUAUAAAGAUCAAUUUACCUACCGUUUCUUGAUGAGAGGUUGACAAGCUUUACAUAGUCUCAGGCAACCUCCCAUUACAUUUUAUGGUAGGAACCUAAAGAGAAUAAAGUAUUCAAUUGAAUCCCGAGGAUGUUUUCAGAAAUAAUUAUCCAAGUGGAGGUACUGAAAUAGCACCAGAAAAGUAAGCUCACCCUCAAUCUGUUCCAAACUAUCUCCCCACCCCUCCAAAGGAAAAAAUAUGGAAUAAGAAAAUUAAUGCAUUAGCAUAAUUAUUUGAAUCUUGUGAAACUACUUCCAUACCCUUGGAGUUUGGAGGUCAGUCUAAUUUCUUGAUUAGCUGAGUGUAUAUUAAAUUGGAUCUCUUUGAAUUUUGGGAGUUGUCCAUCAAUAAUUAACAACCUGUUAAUUAAAUGUAAAUGUCUCUGUCCCCUAA